UACGGGGGGGGGCAAGCGUUGUUCGGAAUUACUGGGCGUAAAGGGCGCGUAGGCGGUUUGUUAAGUUGGUUGUGAAAACUCUGGGCUUAACCCAGAGCCUGCAUCCAAAACUAGCAGACUAGAGUUCUGGAGGGGAUAGCGGAAUUCCUGGUGUAGCGGUGAAAUGCGUAGAUAUCAGGAGGAACACCGGUGGCGAAGGCGGCUAUCUGGACAGAGUCUGACGCUGAGGCGCGAAAGCUAGGGGAGCAAACAGG
This 254-nucleotide ribosomal RNA is filed under the name uncultured bacterium. RNAcentral describes it as "partial 16S ribosomal RNA". It matches the Rfam family "Bacterial small subunit ribosomal RNA", at positions 524 to 776 of the family's 1533-position model. The record is from RNAcentral.